Molecule: non-coding RNA, 72 nt
Organism: Aedes albopictus (Asian tiger mosquito)
Lineage: Eukaryota; Metazoa; Arthropoda; Insecta; Diptera; Culicidae
Source: Rfam
GGCUCGGUAGCUUAGUUGGUAAAGCACUUGUCUAGAGAAUAAGGGUCGUGAGUUCAAAUCUCACCUGAGCUG